Chelonia mydas (Green sea turtle) is the source of this 6306-nucleotide long non-coding RNA. RefSeq lists it as uncharacterized. NCBI's taxonomy places the organism in Eukaryota, Metazoa, Chordata, Testudines, Cheloniidae. The transcript has 6 exons. The record is from RefSeq and is a predicted model, not a curated record.
AGGAGAGGAGGUGGCCCGUGGACAGUUAUCCUAGGGAACGCUACAAACAGUGACGGCCGGGGACAGGGGCUGUUCCCCCGCCCUGCCACAGUUUCGGGGGCCCCUCCCGGGAGAAGGAGAGCUCCUUGCGGAGUUGAGGAAUCCCAUUAGUCUGUAAGCCCUUUGCCGAGGAGACCAGAGCCUUGGCUGCCAUGCUGAUUGCACUCCGGGCCGCCCCAAGGCUGCAGGCCCAGCCGCUUCCACAGAACAGCGGCGGGGAAGCCUAUUAACACCCCCAGCGGGGCAGGGGGAGACGAGCCGCUCGAGGCAAACAGGAAAGGCCAGCAGCAGUAACUGCUCUCGCCCAGCUUCGCCUUGCAGCGGGGGCCCUGCUGUGUGGCAAUGCCUCCCCCUGCCGGGCGCCGGGCACCCACACAGCGAGUCCCUCGCCUCCCUCGGCGCUGAGGACGCCUUUCCCUCCCAGGCACCCUGCUCAGCAAACGCGGCAUUGUUCUGCCCGCUGCAGGGAUCGCGCUUGGCCCGUGAGGAGAGCGCGCCUGCCUGCAGCUCCUUUUCCUGCCUGCUGUCGGUCCUGAAGAUCUUCAUUUGAUUUGAUAUGUUGGAGCUUCACCUCUUCAAAGACCUGAUCCUGCACGGAAGUGCUCGGCACUGUGGAGAAUUGGCUCCAAAUUAGGGAUGGAUUGGGAGUCCUGCCAUUGACAUGAGUACAACGCGAAGUGUAUUUCAUACUUCACCAUUGUGCACUUGGACUGUGAAAACUAUUUCUCUCCAUCCAGGUUAGCUUUGAAAUUAUCUGGGCCAUAUGCUACAGUUAACACUCCCUUUUGACAUCAGUGAGAGUUUUGCUGAGCAAGGCCUACAUAGCUGAGUGCCAUGGUCUAAUAUUUCUAUGAGCCUGGGGCAGGAUUUUCAGAAGCACCAGUCCCCAUUUUAAAAGUGAACCCCUGGACUGCUACUGCAGCUGCAAACAGCAUGACUUGGCAGGAGCAAUCACAACAGGCUACGCAUAUUUGCAUUCAGUGUACACAGGAGUCCAAAACAAACUAUCUCAGAAGAGAAGACAGAGUUUUGAACAGGGACAGACAAAAAACAUGUCUUGAUUGACUGUCUGGGCAAGAUUGCUCAGGAGUCUGAACAAAAAAAUAAAAUCACAAGAAGAUAACUGAAUAGAUCUCCUCAGAGAUUUUUGAUGAACUUCAACAGUGGGGAGAGAACAAAGUUGUUUAAAAGUACGGUGACCAUCCAUCCUGUUUUGGCCAGGACGUCCUUUUUUUUAUCCAUUGGCAAGAGCAACCAGGACAAAUGCCCACCUUUGUCAAAAACAUGGGGUGCAGAGGAAUGUGUGAGGGGCGUGCGGAGAUGUGGGGGAGGAAGGGUUCUAGUGCACAGGGGGUCGGCAGGGUUCGAGCGACCAGCGACAGUCUCAUGGGGAGGGGGGCGGGCACCUUGGGUGAGCAGCUGGAGCUAGCCCCACGGGGAUGGGGAGGUGCUCGGGCCAGACCCAUGCAGUGUCGUGUUUUCCCUUUGGGAAAUAUGGUCACCCUAUUUAAAAGGGUAUUGAAAAUGAAUGCAAAGACUAGCCCAGAGUACUGGAAUUCCAUGAGACAGAGCUGGGUUCAUCCCAGAGGGCCAUGGGAAUGAAAACAAAACAAAACAAAAAAAAACAAGAGAUCUGGAAAGGCAUUCAGAGAGUGAAAAGUAGUAUUAGAGAGGAUCAAGAAGUAGCUGGGGGCAGGGGAACUUUAGAAAGACAGAGAGCAUUAAAAGAAAAAAAAAGGCUUCCAGUUUGGAACCAAAGUCAAUGAUUUACACCUUGUUGCUAAACUUGAAAUCUGACCUCACAGUGAACAUAGAAAAAGCCAUUCUGACUAGUAAUUACCCAAAGUUGACAAGGCAAGACUGCAGAACCAGUCGCUGUGGUAUGUGAAUUAAUAUUUGGUGGCCUGUGUGAACUGACCUGAUGAUCUCAGUUCUCUUCCUAGUAGAUACAUGUCCAUAUCACAAAGACGCAGCGACAACAACUGGUGUAAAUUAGGACACCUGCUAGCAGUCUCAGCAGAACCCAAAGAAUGAAUAGGUAUGAAGACUGGGCUACCUAUCACUGCAGAAGACAUUUCUCCAGGACAUGGUUAGGAAACAUUUUUGGAGCAGUAUAAGAGGAAAGAUUGAACUGUCACUGCCUACAGAGUACCUAUACUAUGGAUAAACAAAGGAUUUUAGUUUCCAGAUCUGUCAAUCCAGAACUUGGUCACUAGCACUAAACAGAUUUAGGAGGAAGGAAAAAAGUAUAUAAUGCUUGCACUUCAUUAGGUCUGACCAGACCUUCCUCAUCAUACAGUGCAUUUUAAUUCUACUUAAUUAUAAGGUAUACUUCUCAGUUUUUGACGCAAAUUUAACUCAGCCCAUACAAACCUGGCAUCAUCCCACUUCUCAUUACUGUUAAUUACUGACCGCAGAAAUGCUGAUUCAUAAAACUGAGGUUACAGAAAACUUUUCACAGUGUGCCAUAUGUUACAGAACCCUUCAUCUUUUCAAGCUUCCACCUCAGAUAUUUAGCAUCACGUCCCUCGUUUGUGGUCUGAGUCACCACAGAUUUUGAAGGUCAGCAUUACACAUUUAGUUGUAGACAAGUUGAGAGCCAUGUUCCACGCCUAUGCAGUGGAACAUAACUAGAUUCCUAUUCCCCAAAGAGGUGAAUGGAAAUCAACUGAAGCAGGGUUUUAGCUAUCUAGAUAGAUAACAUAUAAACAUUAAAAUAUAUAUUUGCCAAGAGGUGGAAGGGUACACUGUUUACAAGCUGAAAUCCACUGACUGAUCCAUAGCCUAUAAGAAAGAGAAGGUAAAGUCAUGCUGUGGGAAGUAGAAAUACCAGGCUGUUAAAUGGGGUUCUUAGAAAUACAGUAAGAGAAUGGAAAUAGAAAAAUGCUAGGAUGAAAGUUAGAUCGAGAAAGUGAAAGCAAUAGUCUGAACUCCCAGCAAAAAACUUAAGCAUCAAGCUGUGAACAUUUACUCUCAAAAUACUCUUAUAAGCAGAUUUUGAUCUGAGUUUAGAACUGUAUCAACCUCCCUUUCUGGAAGGUCCUGUAUUUCAAAUGCUGAUUUGGAAGUACAGUGUGGUAGACAGUCAUUUUCCUCAUUUGGUUCAGAAAAGCACAAAUAACCAGAAUGAUAUAUAAAUUUAAUUGUCACUGUCUUGCAGUUAUUUUUUAGUAACUGCCACAAACCUGAGCUUUGGUAUUUAAUGAACAUCCCAGGCAACCUACUCAGACUAAACACACAGUGCAUUUUCAAAGCUGUAAUUUCAUGAAAACAAAAUGGCUGGAGAGAGAGAGAACAAGCUAGCACUAUUGUUUUUAAUAUCAUUUUUAAACUACAGCAACAGGAAGGUUGAAAUAACCCGCCCACCCACUCUUCACCGGAUAUCAAGAGGUUCAAUUCACCUGAUUCUGCACUACUGAAAUCAAGGGGUGUUUGCCACUAAUUUCUCAUGGGAGCAGGAUCCCUACUCUUCCCUGUCAACCAUCAUCCUUUAUUUCACUUUCCUGUCCAUGGCAAUCUCUUUCCCCAAGACUGUAAAUUUGUUCAUCCCUUGGUUUAACAGUGCUCCCCAAGUUAAUCUGCAGAAUGAUUUGGUACCCAUAACACAUAAGAGUUAGCAGUGAGCCAGGUAAGGGAUACGACCGAGAAGACAGCAGUACUCAGAUGCCAUAGUGACAAGAGUGAUAUCAGACCCACAGAAGAUCAGGAGUAAAUGUGAAUGCUAUUACUCAAGUCAUCAGAUAUGUGUCACUUGUCUGCCUACUUCCUGCUAUCUCUAGGAAUUAAUAAAUGCUUCAAGCUAUGGUUAGUCAAAUUUUCACUUUGACAAGUGAUGGCAGUGGUUUCACUUUUCACCAUAGCUCUAAGUAAAGUCAGUUUGGGACCAAAUUUUAAUCUCCAACCCACACAAAUCUGGAUUUGGAGCUGGAGAAUGCUGUAGGGAGGUAGAUAGGGCACUGAAUGGUGAAAAGGAACAGUAGAGGGAUAUGGGGAAGUGAGGGUGUUUAACUUAAAAAUACCUCCCCACUCCCCCAAAAAUGCACACUUAUCACUAUCCUGGUCACAUUGCUUAUGUGCUGUAAUGCCUUCCCCAAGCCCUUGUCCAUCUUUGUAUUUUUAGACUCUGGAAAGCACUUCGCAUAUUUUAUCUUUCUAAAAGAUAUGCUCUAGUUCACCCACUGGUUGCUGGGGUAGAUAUAGGAAUCACUGAGUAAUAUCUGUGCCCUGUUAUGCCUUCUGGCCUUAAAAACCUAAGAAUUGUAGGUGCUAUCAAAAUACAAAUAACCAGCAUCCAACAGGUCUCACACUUUUAUCAUCACAAUUUCUCUUCAUCCUAACAAAUGCAUUGUGGAAAUUUGAUAUUAGUUGUUGUAAAGAAAUUACUCCUUUGGCAUGCUGGAUUCCCAUCUGCCUGUGUCCGUCAUUGGAAUGGUGUGUGACAUGUCAUUACAACUUGAUUUUGGAAAAUAGGAAUUGAGCACUGAUGAGGUGAAAAACUGUGGUGUUUUAAUGAGAUCUAGGUUACAGCCAUCUUCACCUCUUGCUCUCUGUUGUCCUCUCCACUGUCCAAAGGGCUAUUGCCUUUUCACUACGUCUUUGGUUUACCAUUAUGGCUAGACUGUUCCUGCUCAAAGCCAUACAUGGAGGGAUCCAUGAGGAAGGGGAGAAUAUUGUUGGUGUUGGAGCCACUAUGGGGGAGAAUGUGCAUCAUCCCUCCCCCUCAACUUCUGCAGAAAACGGUCUAGAGGAAGGAUGAUCUUGUGAAUAGGGCCUGGAUUUGGUAAGCCAGGAAGUUGUCACCUGACUUCCUGUAUGGCCUUGGGCAAGAUGCUUAAUUUACCCUAUACCUCAGUUCCCUAUCUGUAACAUUGACAUAAUACUUCCCUACUGCUCGGGAUGUUGUAAGGUUGAAAUCUAUUUGUGUUGGUGAAGUGCUCAAAUACUACAGGGAUAAGGGACACAAAAACAUCUAGAUAAGAGUGACUCCUGAGUGGAUUCUGUGCUGGCACUGCAGAGCUUCUCCACUCUGUGGAAUUUUCCUCCUCCACUCUGUGGAAUUUUCCUCCUUCCCCUUUAAGGAGGAGGUUCCAGAGCUGCAAACCACUGGGAGUGGAACUGGUGAAGAGCCAUGACAAGGACUAGAAGGCACUGCAGAAUCCUUUUUAUUUCCGUACACACGGUGGUGGCCUGUGCUGCCUCACCUGAAAUCCAUGGUGGUUGGGGCCUCAAACCCCUGCUCCUUUCUGAGAGAAACCCUAACCGCCCCUCCCCCCCCCAAAAAAAAACACGUUGUGAGAAGAACCUCAAAGGAUUUUAAUUGCUCCCUCUCUGAGCUCACUGCUGUAGGUUUUGCAGUGGGAGACAGCAACCAGGACCAAAGGCCCUUUGGAGUAGGGCCCUCAAUUUUACAUUUGCCUGUAAAAUCCUAUGCCUGUAAAGUCCUAUGCUUAUAAACAAGUGUUGUGUUUCAAGCAAUGCUUACAAUUUUAUUCCAACUGUCACAAUAUUUGGUGUUUUUCUUGAAGCCCCAGCUCUCAAAGUCUUGGGACUAUGCAAAAAUCUCAACUAGCAUUUUUUUAAAGCAAGUUUCUAAUACUUAUAGAUGCAGAGAAAGGCUGGGGAAUGUGUGACCCAAGAGUGACAGAGACAGGAAUUUCCUGCAACAACCUUGAAAAACCUGAUUGAAUUAAGCUUAAUCAUCUUCGGGAUCCAUUACAUUAAAUGGAAUGUUUAUUUACUACUGUAAAUAGGGCUGGGAUUGUAUGUAACCUCCCUAGGGGAGAAAGGUGAUAUGAGGCGUAGGAGUUCACAGUUGAAAACAUGAAAGACAAGAAUGGAAUUUUGGGACAAUAAGUGUGAAGUGGACUUCCUGGGGGACACCUAGAGAGAGGUUAAUGCAAAUCUCCCCUCCCCCAUUAUGCAAAAAUCUUGCCUUUUGAAGCUACAUCCUGAGGAGAAAGUUUUUGUCUGCUGAUAACCUGUAGCCAGAGACUGGAGAUCAAAGGGCAAAGCUGUGUAAAGAAAUGGAUGAACUGCUGAGCUGGUUGUUCUGGCUCUGAAUCUGACAGUCAUAGGCACUGACUCCACGGGUGCUUCAGGGUUGGAGCACCCAUGGGCAGCCCACGAUCAGCUCCUCCCCUUCCCCCCAGCACCUCCCACCCACUAGCGGCCCCACCGAUCUGCGCCUCCCACCCGCCACAAUCAGCUGUUCCGCAGGAAGCGCUGGGGGGCAGGGAGAGGAGUGACGGCAGGGUGUGCUUGGGGCAA